CAAGAUAUCAACUCCCUCAAACUUGUUCUUUACUUGUCCUCAAGUGACCUUGUAAGAACUCAUAAGGGUGAGAGGUUUGAAAGUGGGAACUCAUAGCCAAAAGUAACACUUUCUAGCACUCAACUUAACAUCCUAAAGAAACAUAGCAGAUAGCAUGAGCAUCUUCCUUAUUAUACUCUAGCUUCUCUAGGCCUAUCCAUACUCUUUUGGCUCUACUCAAGUUGCAAUACUCUUUACAAAAAAGUUUCUUCAAUCAACUCUCACAUUGAUUCACACACACACACAAGGUGAAUUCUCAAAAAUGGCUAGGUAAGCAAUGGUCUAAUAUGAAUGAAGAGAUGGGUUCAAAUGUUUUCAUUUAAAAGUGAUUAUCACUCUAAACAAGGAGCUUGAUCAUUAUGUAAAAUUUAUCUAAGAUUAGAAGCAACUCAUGCAUACAUAGAUUCAUUCUCAUCAUUCUGCCCCCCUUUUGUUAUAAGUGAUCACAAGUUCUACCCUCUUUAUCAUCAUCUCAAAGUUAAACUAAACCCCUCACGUCACUCAUCCAAUGAACAACUCUCCUUUUCUUUUGACUCAACCACUAGGGAUUUUAAUUCACUUUCUACAAGCUCUAACUCUUUUUCAUUUCCUUCUCCAACUUCUCUUUGAUUCUUUUUAUUUUCCUUUUCCCUUUUUUUUUAUUAGGGGGAAGGUUCUUUGUUACAUAAUCAAGAGCUUCUUAUUUUCUUUUUAUCCCUAGAGUUUUAUUUUCUAUUUAUACUCUUCUCUGCUCAUCUCUCUCAUCUUUCUCACUCUCCAAACCCAAGAUAUUGAAAUUUAGAACACACAAACCCCUCUCAA
This 840-nucleotide long non-coding RNA is filed under the name Brassica napus (rape). RNAcentral's name for it is "long non-coding RNA (BNAP_LNC003202)". Lineage: Eukaryota; Viridiplantae; Streptophyta; Magnoliopsida; Brassicales; Brassicaceae. The record is from RNAcentral.